ACUAUUUUGGCAGAUUAGUGCGGUAAAUUUAGAAUUUAUUUAUGUAAUUUAAUAUUACAGAUAGUA
RNAcentral lists this transfer RNA (66 nucleotides) under Scotinophara lurida. RNAcentral describes it as "tRNA-Leu". Lineage: Eukaryota; Metazoa; Arthropoda; Insecta; Hemiptera; Pentatomidae. The record is from RNAcentral.